GUUUAAGCGUGUAGGCUGGUUUUCCAGGCAAAUCCGGAAAAUCAAGGCUGAGGCGUGAUGACGAGGCACUACGGUGCUGAAGCAACAAAUGCCCUGCUUCCAGGAAAAGCCUCUAAGCAUCAGGUAACAUCAAAUCGUACCCCAAACCGACACAGGUGGUCAGGUAGAGAAUACCAAGGCGCUUGAGAGAACUCGGGUGAAGGAACUAGGCAAAAUGGUGCCGUAACUUCGGGAGAAGGCACGCUGAUAUGUAGGUGAAGUCCCUCGCGGAUGGAGCUGAAAUCAGUCGAAGAUACCAGCUGGCUGCAACUGUUUAUUAAAAACACAGCACUGUGCAAACACGAAAGUGGACGUAUACGGUGUGACGCCUGCCCGGUGCCGGAAGGUUAAUUGAUGGGGUCAGCGCAAGCGAAGCUCUUGAUCGAAGCCCCGGUAAACGGCGGCCGUAACUAUAACGGUCCUAAGGUAGCGAAAUUCCUUGUCGGGUAAGUUCCGACCUGCACGAAUGGCGUAAUGAUGGCCAGGCUGUCUCCACCCGAGACUCAGUGAAAUUGAACUCGCUGUGAAGAUGCAGUGUACCCGCGGCAAGACGGAAAGACCCCGUGAACCUUUACUAUAGCUUGACACUGAACAUUGAGCCUUGAUGUGUAGGAUAGGUGGGAGGCUUUGAAGUGUGGACGCCAGUCUGCAUGGAGCCGGCCUUGAAAUACCACCCUUUAAUGUUUGAUGUUCUAACGUUGGCCCCUGAUCGGGGUUGCGGACAGUGUCUGGUGGGUAGUUUGACUGGGGCGGUCUCCUCCUAAAGAGUAACGGAGGAGCACGAAGGUUGGCUAAUCCUGGUCGGACAUCAGGAGGUUAGUGCAAUGGCAUAAGCCAGCUUGACUGCGAGCGUGACGGCGCGAGCAGGUGCGAAAGCAGGUCAUAGUGAUCCGGUGGUUCUGAAUGGAAGGGCCAUCGCUCAACGGAUAAAAGGUACUCCGGGGAUAACAGGCUGAUACCGCCCAAGAGUUCAUAUCGACGGCGGUGUUUGGCACCUCGAUGUCGGCUCAUCACAUCCUGGGGCUGAAGUAGGUCCCAAGGGUAUGGCUGUUCGCCAUUUAAAGUGGUACGCGAGCUGGGUUUAGAACGUCGUGAGACAGUUCGGUCCCUAUCUGCCGUGGGCGCUGGAGAACUGAGGGGGGCUGCUCCUAGUACGAGAGGACCGGAGUGGACGCAUCACUGGUGUUCGGGUUGUCAUGCCAAUGGCACUGCCCGGUAGCUAAAUGCGGAAGAGAUAAGUGCUGAAAGCAUCUAAGCACGAAACUUGCCCCGAGAUGAGUUCUCCCUGACUCCUUGAGAGUCCUGAAGGAACGUUGAAGACGACGACGUUGAUAGGCCGGGUGUGUAAGCGCAGCGAUGCGUUGAGCUAACCGGUACUAAUGAACCGUGAGG
This 1431-nucleotide ribosomal RNA is filed under the name Escherichia coli. RNAcentral describes it as "partial 23S ribosomal RNA". It matches the Rfam family "Bacterial large subunit ribosomal RNA", at positions 1510 to 2916 of the family's 2925-position model. Lineage: Bacteria; Pseudomonadati; Pseudomonadota; Gammaproteobacteria; Enterobacterales; Enterobacteriaceae. The record is from RNAcentral.